Long non-coding RNA from Solanum dulcamara, 191 nucleotides. RefSeq lists it as uncharacterized. The transcript has 3 exons. NCBI's taxonomy places the organism in Eukaryota, Viridiplantae, Streptophyta, Magnoliopsida, Solanales, Solanaceae. The record is from RefSeq and is a predicted model, not a curated record.
UUACCAAACAGCCCAUAAGUUUCAGCUGCGCUAAAGGAAAUUCCGAGGCAAGUUUUGGCGAGUUUUGGUGAAUUUCGGGAAAGGUUCAAGAGACGACGAGGCGAGCAUAGUUAAGAGUAAUCCGUAAGAGGUACAGAUGAUUGGUUUGCUGAUCCGCUCGCUUAGGACAUCCACCAUGUUGGUCGACAGUG